This 22-nucleotide non-coding RNA is filed under the name Arabidopsis thaliana (thale cress). Lineage: Eukaryota; Viridiplantae; Streptophyta; Magnoliopsida; Brassicales; Brassicaceae. The record is from RNAcentral.
GCCGUUUCACACUUCUCUUCUA